CCUGGCGGCAAUAGCGAGUGGGAACCACCCGAAACCAUCCCGAACUCGGUAGUGAAAACGCUCUGCGCCGAUGAUAGUGUGGGGUUUCCCCAUGCGAAAGUAGGACACCGCCAGGU
This 116-nucleotide ribosomal RNA is filed under the name Gammaproteobacteria bacterium. The record is from RNAcentral. Lineage: Bacteria; Pseudomonadati; Pseudomonadota; Gammaproteobacteria.